ACACACACACACAAGUUAGAGGUGUUUAAAACCUCUAAGGGAUGGUUAAAUCCAAAGGCACUCCUGGUGAUUACCUGCGUAGGUACAGUCCUUGGUAAAAGGUAUGCGGUAGCAGGUAAUUCAGCAGGUAAACCGUAGUUUAAAUUAUAUGCAAGAAGAAAAUGGAGGUAAAAUAAAAGCAAGAAGUUGGAGAUUCGGAAG
Long non-coding RNA from Octopus sinensis (East Asian common octopus), 201 nucleotides. RefSeq lists it as uncharacterized. The record is from RefSeq and is a predicted model, not a curated record. NCBI's taxonomy places the organism in Eukaryota, Metazoa, Mollusca, Cephalopoda, Octopoda, Octopodidae. The transcript has 3 exons.